RNAcentral lists this ribosomal RNA (253 nucleotides) under uncultured bacterium. Its description in RNAcentral is "partial 16S ribosomal RNA". It matches the Rfam family "Bacterial small subunit ribosomal RNA", at positions 524 to 776 of the family's 1533-position model. The record is from RNAcentral.
UACGUAGGCAGCGAGCGUUGUUCGGAGUUACUGGGCGUAAAGGGUGUGUAGGCGGUUUUCUAAGUUUGGUGUGAAAUCUCCCGGCUCAACCGGGAGGGUGCGCCGAAAACUGGGAGACUAGAGUGCGGGAUGGGAGAGUAGAAUUCCUGGUGUAGCGGUGAAAUGCGUAGAUAUCAGGAGGAAUACCGGUGGUGUAGACGGCUCUCUGGGCCGCCACUGACGCUGAGACACGAAAGCGUGGGUAGCAAACAGG